UGUGUUUCUGUUAUAAAAAGGAAAACACAGCACUCAAGGACAGUUAAAAAUCAUGGAAUUGCUCCAUCUGCCUUGCAACAAAUAAAGUUUGCCCCUGAUGGGAGACAAGUUCCUGACGGGCUCCUGGUACGCCUGCACCAGGAAACGAUGGGCUCUCCGAACCUCACAAAA
Cygnus olor (mute swan) is the source of this 171-nucleotide long non-coding RNA. RefSeq lists it as uncharacterized. The transcript has 2 exons. The record is from RefSeq and is a predicted model, not a curated record. NCBI's taxonomy places the organism in Eukaryota, Metazoa, Chordata, Aves, Anseriformes, Anatidae.